GCAAGGCAGGUUGGGAUUAAAAAAUAAAUAAAAUUGAACAAUUUUAUUUUACCAACAUAACAAACGAAGCACGUUGAAAUAAUAAAAAAAAGUUGAACAAUAAUGUUUUGGUAAAAUCACAAUCGUAUUACAUUUAGCGCUCAAAGAUCACGUAGUAAUAUGCAAGAAAAAUUAUAAAUUCUCUGUCUAUUCUUUGAUCCUUGUAAAAAUGUGUAGACGGUUCAAUGAUCGUGGUAGGCUUCAUACUGAAUGAAUAGCAUUACAUCAUCUAAAUUUUGCUUGCACCUGUAGAGAAAAUCAAGGCAUGAGUCAAUCGCUGUCAUUCUUUUAUCAAGUUCAGCUUCCUUAAAACUCUAUCAGACGCCCAAAAAAAGUAGCAGCACUGUAUAUCAAACUGAAUCCUGUGCUUAAGCAUUUAGAGCAACAAAAUGGUAUGUGAACCAUGGAAGCUGGAAAACAUAAAAUACUUUUUUGAAACACAGUGUUGAACACGACUGGAGAUCAUGGUAAACAAGAUCUUUUAACUUAUUUCUAAUAUUUUAGGCAUGUUUGGAGGCUUUUGAAAAGUCAAAAACUACUUUUGAGACUAAAAAACUGCUUUUUAAUCUAUUUAAAUAAUUUUCUGGAAACGCUUUGUCUGGUUACAAAAAUUUUUAGAGUAAGCUUUUUUACAAGAAGCAGAAGCCCUGCUAGACGGGUUCUUAAUAUAGUUCAAUACUAUCCGUUCUACCCGAGAAAAGAAACUAGACAUGUAAAUUCGACAGAAAUGAAUGGAUCCGUGGAGGAGACGAUGCUCUCUCUANGGUUUGUGUUC
This 814-nucleotide long non-coding RNA is filed under the name Olea europaea subsp. europaea. Lineage: Eukaryota; Viridiplantae; Streptophyta; Magnoliopsida; Lamiales; Oleaceae. The record is from RNAcentral.